This 1148-nucleotide ribosomal RNA is filed under the name Methanomassiliicoccaceae archaeon UBA328. RNAcentral describes it as "bacterial SSU rRNA". It matches the Rfam family "Archaeal small subunit ribosomal RNA", at positions 297 to 1448 of the family's 1478-position model. The record is from RNAcentral. Lineage: Archaea; Methanobacteriati; Thermoplasmatota; Thermoplasmata; Methanomassiliicoccales; Methanomassiliicoccaceae.
UGGAUUCUGAGACACGAAUCCAGGCCCUACGGGGCGCAGCAGUCGCGAAAACUUCACAAUGGAGGCAACUCCGAUGAGGGAAUUCCUAGUGCCAAUGCAUUUUGUGUUGGCUUUUCUUCAGCGUAGAUAACUGAAGGAAUAAGGGCUGGGUAAGACGGGUGCCAGCCGCCGCGGUAAUACCCGCAGCCCAAGUGGUGGUCGAUAUUAUUGAGUCUAAAACGUUCGUAGCCGGUUCAAUAAAUCUCUGGGUAAAUCGGAGGGCUUAACCUUCCGAAUUCCGGAGAGACUGUUGAACUUGGGACCGGGAGAGGCAAGAGGUACUUCUGGGGUAGGGGUAAAAUCCUGUAAUCCUAGAAGGACCACCGGUGGCGAAGGCGUCUUGCUAGAACGGAUCCGACGGUGAGGGACGAAGCCCUGGGUCGCAAACGGGAUUAGAUACCCCGGUAGUCCAGGGUGUAAACGCUGCAGACUUGGUGUUGGGAACCCUUCGGGGGUGCUCAGUGCCGGAGAGAAGUUGUUAAGUCUGCUACUUGGGGAGUACGUCCGCAAGGAUGAAACUUAAAGGAAUUGGCGGGGGAGCACCGCAACGGGAGGAGCGUGCGGUUUAAUUGGAUUCAACACCGGAAAACUCACCAGGGGAGACUGUUACAUGAAAGCCAGGCUAAUGACCUUGCUCGAUUUUCAGAGAAGUGGUGCAUGGCCGUCGUCAGUUCGUACCGUAAGGCGUUCUCUUAAGUGAGAUAACGAACGAGACCCUCACUAAUAUUUGCUACUCCGUUCUCCGGAACGGAGGCACAUUAUUGGGACCGCUGGCGCUAAGCCAGAGGAAGGAGAGGUCAACGGUAGGUCAGCAUGCCCUGAAUCUCCUGGGCUACACGCGCGCUACAAAGGGCGGGACAAUGGGUUCCGACACCGAAAGGUGAAGGUAAUCUCGAAACCCGUCCGUAGUUCGGAUUGAGGGUUGUAACUCACCCUCAUGAAGCUGGAUUCCGUAGUAAUCGCGAAUCAACAACUCGCGGUGAAUAUGCCCCUGCUCCUUGCACACACCGCCCGUCAAACCAUCCGAGUUGGGUUUCAGUGAAGCUGCCUCUAACUAGGGUUGUUGAACUGAGAUUUAGCAAGGAAGGUUAAGUCGUAACAAGGUAUCU